AUGUAAUUCAAUUUAUACAACAUUAAUGCAUCAUAUCCCAUUAGAACUCUAUAGUUAAGUGUGCUUGGGUUAGAGUAGUAUUAGGAUGGGUGACCUCUGAGGAAAUCCUAGUGUUUUACAUG
Molecule: non-coding RNA, 122 nt
Organism: Picea glauca (white spruce)
Lineage: Eukaryota; Viridiplantae; Streptophyta; Pinopsida; Pinales; Pinaceae
Source: Rfam